This 484-nucleotide ribosomal RNA is filed under the name uncultured Sphingobacteriales bacterium. Its description in RNAcentral is "bacterial SSU rRNA". It matches the Rfam family "Bacterial small subunit ribosomal RNA", at positions 900 to 1383 of the family's 1533-position model. The record is from RNAcentral. Lineage: Bacteria; Pseudomonadati; Bacteroidota; Sphingobacteriia; Sphingobacteriales.
CUUAAAGGAAGUUGACGGGGCCGGCACAAGCGGAGGAGCAUGUGGUUUAAUUCGAUGAUACGCGAGGAACCUUACCUGGGCUCGAACGUAAGAUGACUGUAGGUGAAAGCUUACAUCUCUUCGGAGCAUUUUACGAGGUGCUGCAUGGUUGUCGUCAGCUCGUGCCGUGAGGUGUCGGGUUAAGUCCCAUAACGAGCGCAACCCCUACCUUUAGUUGCCAUCAGGUUAAGCUGGGGACUCUAAAGGAACUGCCUACGCAAGUAGUGAGGAAGGCGGGAUGACGUCAAAUCAGCACGGCCCUUACGUCCAGGGCUACACACGUGCUACAAUGGCCGAUACAGAGGGCAGCUACCUGGUGACAGGAUGCAAAUCUCCAAAGUCGGUCUCAGUUCGGAUCGGAGUCUGCAACCCGACUCCGUGAAGUUGGAUUCGCUAGUAAUCGCGCAUCAGCCAUGGCCGCGGUGAAUAACGUUACCCGGGCCUU